Molecule: long non-coding RNA, 2002 nt
Organism: Acipenser ruthenus (sterlet)
Lineage: Eukaryota; Metazoa; Chordata; Actinopteri; Acipenseriformes; Acipenseridae
Exons: 6
Source: RefSeq, a predicted model, not a curated record
AUGAGGAUUUCCUAGUCUGAAAUUCUUAUCGCGAGAUUUAAUGUUAACACCCUCACAUGAUCAGUGACGAGAUGAAAAUCACAUGUGGGAUAAAAAGUAGUAUGCGGUAUAAUAACGUAGUACAUUCAAGGAUAAUAAUAAUUUUAUUAUCCUUGGUACAUAUGCAGAACUAUUUCUGUCCCGAGUUACCCCAAAGAAGUCGCAGUACUUGGAGAUAACACUGGACAGGUCAUUUUCUUGGCCAUGUAAAGGCUACAGAUUAAAAACAAAAUGUCCUCAAAUCAGUGAUUUGUGCAGAUUCUGACAAUACAGAGCAGAUCUACCUGCGAGCUUCAGGCUGGGCUGUACAGAUGAAAGUUUGACGACGUUUGUAGUCGUUUUAACGCCUCCCACAAAUCAUACAACAAAGCCUUCACUUUCAGGGAGAACACCAUUCCUCCGCCAGGGCGCAGCUUUGCCGUAUUCCCACUGUUGAGUGUCUCCGCCAGCUGCCGUUUACAUAGCUUGGAUACAGAAGGGAACGAAUAAAUACAAGGAGGUGACAUGGAGCCUGAGCAACAUGAACCAUUACUCAGACCAUCUCAGCAAAAACUGUGGAGAACAAGUGUUCCGGCUGCUACAAAGAAAUGAAGCCUUAUCAUACCUUCUCCAGAAUCUACUGCUGAACACCGCAAUAAUACCCUAAAACAUUUGAAAAUGUAGUAAUUCUACCAGUUGAAGAUAAGAGGAAGCACAGAACAGAAUUAAUCGCCUGCUAGAUUUAUAGUCUCUAAGCUAGGACCCGAGGACAGAAGCAAUACGAAAAUUCUUGAGGGACACAUCAUAUGAUCUUUUACAAGAGGCAGCACUCAUGAGAACUAUAUUUCUGAAAUUCAGAUAGCCAAGAAAGGUUAUUGUGUGGUAACUUUAAUAUACAACACUGCAUGUAUUUCACUGUUCUGUAAAUGCCAGGGAGAUGCAGCAUGCAUUGGAGUUAACAGUGCAGCACUUUUGUGUUCAGUAGCAUGACUCAUUAAUCAUGAGACUGGCCAUAUUCUUGUACUGCCUUUGCUUUCAUUACUUGGCCUAAUUAAACAGUUCUCUGAACUGGAAUCUCAGAUUCCUCUGUUACAGAUUAUCAUUAAUUAUGGUGAAAGUGCUCAGAGAUGUUGGACUCAAUUAUAUUCUGCUCAACCCUGGCACUCAAGUGAUUCAUUGCUUUGCCUGCUUUGCAGAUGUACUGUCUUUCCUUAUCAGGAGCUUCCACUUUUGUAAAUUGGGCUCUGCCAGCCAACAAACUAAGAAGUAUGUGCUGCUUUUUCAUUAAAAACAUGUUGGAGAAGCACAGACCAAUUAAGGAUUCCUUAUUUUAUCUGGAGUGAUGAGAUGGGUUUGGUGGAUACUUGGAGAAUCAGCUGAGUCAAGAUCUUGACCAGGAAACAGGGUCUUUCCAAGACAUUUCUUUACAUACAGUUUAGACACUGAUCCAGCUUAUUAGAAUAUUAUUUCGUUUUUUCUGCCAUACAUAUAUACUUACUAAUUAAGAAUCACAAAAGGCAACUCAUUUUAAAAACAAAGGUUUGUAAAUGAAGUGGUGCAAGCAGUCCCAGUACUGUCUUACAUGUUUGUUAUUUUUCUACUUUUAUGCUUUCAUUUAUAUGAAGAUUUUGUAAAUUAAUCCAGUAUUAAUAUAUGUGGUGUGAUAUGCAAAUAAGAAUGAUUAGGAAUAACAUUACAUGAGAGAGUAUCAUAUAUGUUUAUAAUCAAUCCAAUCCAUAGAUUAAAAAAACUUAAUGAGUUGAAUUGACUAUGUGUAUGUUAACAGAUUAAUACCUACUUUUAGAAAUUGGACUUUUUCCCAUUGCUGUUAUGAUAUGAUACAAUGGGACAGAUAGAAAAACAGGUAAUAAAUGACACAAAUUAAGCCUCACAUCAUCCUGUUUGUGAAUUUGGUCUGUAUGGAAAGUGCUAAUGGGUUUGUGUGAAAUAUGGACAGAUUAGAUACUUUCCAAAACAAAUAGUA